UGAUCCGCAUAUACCCUUUUCAUGAUAUAUCUUCUCAUUCACUCUAUACAUGCAUAGGAUUCCCUCACCCGUCCAAUUUUUUUCAUCAUCCUUAUCCUUAAUUGGGUCUCACGCGUACAUGACCCGACCCAAAAACUUUUUCUUUGUAGCCAAGCACACAUAUUAUAUGGAGUGUAUAAAUAUAUCUUGGGGAUAUCUAAAAGUGAGGAGGAACCCUAGAGCCCUAAAGAAAGAAAAAGUUGUGCAGCAGCUGAUAAAAAAAUGCAGUAGCAAGAGCUAAAAAAAACCCAGCUUCAUCUCCCUCAAGAACACCUGCUAAUCACCAUUAAAGCAUUCUAAAAUCAGCACCUAAAACUCGACAAAAUACAUCCAUUUUUACCUCAAGUCCACCCCAAAAUACAAUAGAAAUCCAAGCCGAAAAGGAGCAGCAAAACCAGUUUUAAAACCUCCAAAAUCCAGCCAAGAACUCCAGCAAAGCUUCAGCUCGAAAUCGGGCUUCCGACGAAUGGUUCCGGUAAGUUUUGAGGUUCCGGUGCGGUCUUCGGGUGGCGGGUCUGUUUGUUUUUAGGUUGUCGGCAUGCCUUUCCUUGUAUGCUGACCAGAGGCUCUUGCAAAUACAGAAGCUAAUUAAAAAAAAGGUUUAUUUCCUUUAUUAUUUUCUGCAUUUUUAUUUUUUUAAAGUUGUUACUUUAUUCAGCCAUCAAAUAUGUGUGACCUUAAUUUGCCUGAUUGGCUUUCUUCCUAUUGCCUCUAUUUUGCCAUCUUUUAGUAUGUUUCAGCAUUGUUAAUAUUUAGUGUUGAUCUGAAGAUUAAUUAGUUUUGUUUUGAGUGAUGAAUUCGUUAGUGUAGAAUUAAAUUUAUUUGGGCUUGAUUAUUUUAUUGGUUGUAUUCAUGUGGGCCAUAUGGUAUGUCUUGACAUAAUGGGUUGUAUAGUCUAGCUAGAAGUAGACGUAGCUUUGAACAUGAGACAAAUUAAAUUUGAAAUAAAUCAAAGUACGCGUUUGCGCGACUUUGGCCAAACAAUCUUAAUAAUAAUAAAAUGUUAUUAAUUGUGUAUCGUUCGCGUGACACGAGUACGAUUUAAAAAUAAAUACUUGUAGAAAUGCUUUUAGGCGUGGUUUUUAAACUACUAUCGUGAUUGUGUACAUGUUCGCGUGUCGCGAUUUUGAUUUUUUCAAAUAAAUUGAAGGUAUGCGUUCGCGCGACUUUGACCAAACUUUUUCUUAAAUAAACUAAGUGUUAGGAAUUGUGUACACAUACGUGUGACAUGAUUCUUGAUGCACCAAAUUAGAUAAGUAUACCAACACGUAACUCGAUAAUUCUUUCAAGUACUUAAGAGUUGUAAAAGGCAAAAUACACAUAUGUUCUAAAAUAAGUAAUUAAAUAGUUAAUUAAGCCAGGUAAGAUUAAAAGUGAUCGUGCUAAAACCACAAAACUCGGGAGUGCCUAACACCUUCUCCCGGGUUAACAGAAUUCCUUACCUAGUUUUUUCUAGUUUUGCAGACUUUAAACGAAAUCAAAUUUUCCUCGAUUUGAGAUUUAAAAUAAACCGGUGACUUGGAACAUCAUAAAAUUAUUCCAAGUGGUGACUCUGAAUUUAUUAAAUAAUCUCAUUUCAAUUAAUAUCAUUUUAAUUGGAAAAACUCCAUAUCCCUUCAGGAAAAAGGAGGUGUGACAGAGAGUAUUAUAAGUGCAUGGCGAGACAACUUAGAGUGUCUCGCCUCAUGAUCGGUCACUGACAUCUGACCCUACUGGAGCUGCUCAAACUGAAACCGCAACUCUUCUCUCUGAGAGGGUGGAUUAUACAUAUCCAAGAAAAAAUGUGUAACUGAUCCCAAGUCAAUGGAGGAGAACUUGCUGGUNNNNNNNNNNNNNNNNNNNNNNNNNCUGCCAAGAAGAUAAGACUGCCACCAUCUACGGGCCCUGCCCUCCAGCUUGAAAGUAGUAAAAUCCACCUUGUGGGUCUCUAAUAUCCUUAUAUUGUGCACUAUGUCCCUACACCAAUCAAUAAAGUCCUGGGAUCCUCAUGUCGCUCACCUCCAAAGACAGGAGGGUGUAGCCUAGUCCAUCUGUCUAAUAGCUUCUACGGCUCGCCGGCCGCAGUUGGUCGGGGCUCAGGUACUGUAAUGACCCGGCCGGCCGUUUUGAAUAAUACAAUCUUGUUUCCCCUAUUUACUGCUAAAUUUAUGCUUUACAAUUGUUAUGUGACUUGUCAGGGUAAUUGGUUAGGGUCCGGUGAGAUUUUUGAAAUGAAUUGAGACACUUAGUCUCCAAGAAGAAAGCUUAAGUUGAAUAAUUUGACCGGAAGAUGAAAAUGUGUAAACGACCCCAAAAUGAAUUUUUGAUGAUUCCAAUAGCUCCGUAUGGUAAUUUCGGGAUUAGGAGUGUGUCCAGAUAUUUAUUUCGAGGUUCGUAACUAAAUUAUGCUUGAAAUGGAGAAAAUGAGAAAUUUAAGUUUGGAAGUUUGACUGGGGAGUUGACUUUUUGAUAUCUUUGGGUCGGAAUCCAGUCCUAAAAAUUUUUCUAGCUCCGUUUUGUCAUUUAUGACUUGUGUGCAAAAUUUGAUGUCAAUCGGACUUGAUUUGAUAGGUUUCGGCAUCGAAUAUAGAAGUUGGAAGUUCUUAGUUUCAUUAAGCUUGAAUUGGGGUGUGAUUCGUGGUUUUAGCGUUGUUUGAUAUGAUUUGAAGUUUCGACCAAGUCCGUAUCAUGUUUUAGGACUUGUUGGUAUAUUUGGUUGGGGUCUCGGUGGACUCGAGUAUGUUUCGAAUCAUUUUGGGCUACUUUGGGUGCUGAUUUUCUGAUAUCUGGUGUUGUUCUUCGCGUUCGCGAAGAAGAAUUUGGCCUCUGGAAGUUUGUUCUUCGCGUUCGCGAAGAAGGAAAUCUCGAUUGCAUAGGUCUGACUUCGGAGGCUCAUAUCUCACAAUCUAUAAGGAAUUUGGAGAUAAUCCAAACAUGAAAGUUAUAGAUCUUUGUGUUUAGUUUUCAGAAAUGUAAAUUAAUUGGCAUUUAGAUUUGUGUACAAAAAGUUAUGGUAGUUACACUACAGUCUGUCCGGGGAGAGUUUGAAAAUCUCUGCUGCACAGGGCUGACUUUGGAAGCUUAUAUCUCGCAAUAUAUAAUGAUGACUCAGGAAAUUAGCAACCUAUGAAAUUAUAGCCCUUGGUGUCUAGUAUUCAGAACAUCAAACCAUUUGUCAUUUGGAGUUGUGUAAAAAAAAUUAUGGCAAUUAUACUAAAAGCUGUCUGGAAUGAGUUUGGAAAUCGCUGACGAGGAAUUUGUUCAUCGCGAACGCGAGAGGAGGGUCGCGAACGCGAAGAACAAACCCUGGGUAGCAGAAUAAAGUCCAAAUUCGUCCCAUUCUUCCAUUUUUGGACCAAGGAAGCUCGAGUGGGGCAAUUGUUCGAGGGAUUUUCAGAGAAAACAACGGGAUAAGUGUUCUUAACAUAAUUUUUGAUAGAUUACUCGAAUCCAUUGUUGUUUUUAACAUUUAAUUGGUGAUUUUAAGUUGGAAAAGUUUGAAAACUCUCUUGGAUAGAUUUGAGGAUUUGAGGGUCGAAAUGUUAUCGGAAUUUAGUAAUUUUGGUAUGGUUAGACUCGUGGUUGAAUGGGUUGUCGGAUUUUAUGAGUUUCGUCGGAUUUCGAGACGUGGGCCCCACGUGCGAUUUUGAGUUAAAUUUCGGAUUUUGUUGGAAAAUUAGUAUUUUCAUAUGGAAUUAAUUCCUAUAAUUAGUAUUGACUGAAUUGAAUUAAAUGUGGCUAGAUUCGGGUCGAUUGGAGGCCGAUUCAAGGGGCAAAAGCAUUUUGGAGUAGGAUUUUGCUCGGAUUGAGGUAAGUAAUGAUUGUAAAUGUUUGUCCUGAGGGUAUGAAACUCCGAAUUUCACAUCGUUGUGUUAUUUUGAGGUGACGUACACGUUAGAUGACGAGCGUGAGAUCAUGCACCAUUGGGGAUCGUGAUUUAGUCCAUCCAGUAUGACUGUUUAACUGCGUAUUUAAUUGAAAAUUAUUUUCUAUCAUCAUGUUUUGGGAUGAAUGCCAUAUUUGGGCCUCGUGCCAACUAUUUUGGACCCUUAGGGGAUUUUUACUACUAUUCCUCAUUGUUUUGACUUUAUAUUUGUAUUCAGUCAUGCUAUAUUCUACUGUUUUCAUAACUCAACCAUGUUUACUCUAUUUUGACAUCUUAAAUGAUAGUUUGGGUUGAGCAUCAUAUUUUACUGUGUCCGAGUGGCUUUUAGAGAUUUCUGACUAAGUAGGGCUGAGGGCCUGUGUUGUGAGGUUAUUAUGGGAUCGGGUUGCACACUGCAGCAGUGUUAUACUGAUUUAUGAUCUUGAGGUUGAGGGCCUGAGUUGUUAUGCCACGAGGUGGCUUGAUAUUGCACUUGGGCCGUAAAGGGCCCCUCCCGGAGUCUAUACACCCCAAUGAGCGCGGGUACGCUGAGUGAGUGAUAUAUUGAUUUUGCCACGAGAUGGCUUGUUAUUGCGUUUGGCCAUAAGGGGCCCCUCCCGGAGUCUGUACACCCCCAGUGAGCACGGGUACCCAGUGUGAGUAAUAUAAUGUAGCCCGAGAGGCUGUUGUUGUUUCAUAUUGUUGCCCGAAGGGUUGUUCUUGAUCCACGUUUGGCCCGAGGGGCGGUUCUUGAUUCUUGUUAUGCCUGAGGGGUUGAUUACGAGUGAUUGUGAGGUAGCCCGAGGGAUGGUUCUGUUGAUAUUAUGCCCGAGGGGCGGUUUAUGGUACAUGUUUUGCCCGAGGGGCAGUCUACAUUUUAUAUCAUUUUUACUCACUGUUUUAUCACUCGUUUGAAACUAUUGAAAGUUAUUUUCAAAGGCUUUUACUGAACUGAGCUUGAUUUAUGAAGUAAAUAAUUUAUGUACUGUGUUGGAAAUGUCUUGCAUUUGUUAUAGCGUGUUGACGUGGCUUACGUGUUUUCUUACUGCGCAGCUUUCAUUUACUUUUAUUACUUACUGAGUUGGCGUACUCACAUUACUCCCUGCACCUUGUGUGCAGAUUCAGGUAGUUUUGAAUCCCGUAACGGGUGUUGAUUGCUUAGUGGCAGAGUCAUUGGAGUUAGCAAGGUAGUUGCCCGACGUUUGCAGCACUGUUAUUUCUCCCUCUUUUCUUCCUUAGACUGUAUUUAGUACAUUUCUAGACUCUUUGUUGUAUUCAGAUCUUUGUAGAUGCUCGUGACUUGUGAUACCCCGAUGUCGGGCUUGUAUAUUUAUUCUGCACUAGUUGUUUAGACUUAUAUUAUAAGAUUUCUUCUUAAUUAAUGACUUAAAAAUGA
RNAcentral lists this long non-coding RNA (5279 nucleotides) under Nicotiana tabacum (common tobacco). RNAcentral describes it as "long non-coding RNA (NTAB_LNC003857)". The record is from RNAcentral. Lineage: Eukaryota; Viridiplantae; Streptophyta; Magnoliopsida; Solanales; Solanaceae.